CGUAGGGUGCAAGCGUUAAUCGGAAUUACUGGGCGUAAAGCGUGCGCAGGCGGUUAUGUAAGACAGAGGUGAAAUCCCCGGGCUCAACCUGGGAACUGCCUUUGUGACUGCAUAGCUAGAGUACGGCAGAGGGGGAUGGAAUUCCGCGUGUAGCAGUGAAAUGCGUAGAUAUGCGGAGGAACACCGAUGGCGAAGGCAAUCCCCUGGGCCUGUACUGACGCUCAUGCACGAAAGCGUGGGGAGCAAACAGGAUUAGAUACCCUGGUAGUCCACGCCCUAAACGAUGUCAACUGGUUGUUGGGUCUUUACUGACUCAGUAACGAAGCUAACGCGUGAAGUUGACCGCCUGGGGAGUACGGCCGCAAGGUUG
RNAcentral lists this ribosomal RNA (370 nucleotides) under uncultured organism. Its description in RNAcentral is "bacterial SSU rRNA". It matches the Rfam family "Bacterial small subunit ribosomal RNA", at positions 526 to 896 of the family's 1533-position model. The record is from RNAcentral.